RNAcentral lists this unclassified non-coding RNA (344 nucleotides) under soil metagenome. RNAcentral describes it as "partial contains 5.8S ribosomal RNA, internal transcribed spacer 2, and large subunit ribosomal RNA". The stretch from base 1 to 120 matches the Rfam family "5.8S ribosomal RNA", at positions 35 to 154 of the family's 154-position model. The record is from RNAcentral.
GAUGAAGAACGUAGCGAAAUGCGAUACGUAAUGUGAAUUGCAGAAUUCAGUGAGUCAUCGAAUCUUUGAACGCACAUUGCGCCCACUGGUAUUCCGGUGGGCAUGCCUGUUCGAGCGUCAUUAUCCUCCCUCAAACCCCGGGUUUGGUGUUGGACCCAAGUUGUGUGAACAACUGGUCUCAAAGACAAUGACGGCGUCCGUGGGACCCUCGGUGCAACGAGCUUUUAGGAGCACGCAUCGAGUUGCAAGGACCUUCCGGGCCGGUCUCCUUUACCAUUUUACAAGGUUGACCUCGGAUCAGGUAGGAAUACCCGCUGAACUUAAGCAUAUCAAUAAGCGGAGGA